This 497-nucleotide ribosomal RNA is filed under the name uncultured bacterium. RNAcentral's name for it is "partial 16S ribosomal RNA". It matches the Rfam family "Bacterial small subunit ribosomal RNA", at positions 28 to 507 of the family's 1533-position model. The record is from RNAcentral.
GAUGAACGCUGGCGGCGUGCCUAAUACAUGCAAGUCGAGCGAACAGACGAGGAGCUUGCUCCUCUGACGUUAGCGGCGGCCGGUUGAGUAACACGUGGAUAACCUACCUAUAAGACUGGGAUAACUUCGGGAAACCGGAGCUAUUACCGGAUAAUAUAUUGAACCGCAUGGUUCAAUAGUGAAAGACGGUUUUGCUGUCACUUAUAGAUGGAUCCGCGCCGCAUUAGCUAGUUGGUAAGGUAACGGCUUACCAAGGCGACGAUGCGUAGCCGACCUGAGAGGGUGAUCGGCCACACUGGAACUGAGACACGGUCCAGACUCCUACGGGAGGCAGCAGUAGGGAAUCGUCCGCAAUGGGCGAAAGCAUGACGGAGCAACGCCGCGUGAGUGAUGAAGGUCUUCGGAUCGUAAAAAUCUGUUAUUAGGGAAGAACAAAUGUGUAAGUAACUAUGCACGGCUUGACGGUACCUAAUCAGAAAGCCACGGCUAACUACGUG